UCACGUCCAGUUUGAUCUGGUGGAUGUGU
Molecule: non-coding RNA, 29 nt
Filed under: Homo sapiens (human)
Lineage: Eukaryota; Metazoa; Chordata; Mammalia; Primates; Hominidae
Source: RNAcentral